GUGUGCAGCAGCCGGCGGCGGAGCAGUGACGCGGCAUCUGGGAAAGAGGCGGGAGUUAAGUCGCAAGCGGCUCUCCGGGCAUCCGGAGGAGCCUCGCGCCUCCAGCCGCCGCUCCUCCCCAAGGGGCUCUGGCCUGUCGGGUCCCCCCCGGCCCGUUGUCGCCCCAACCCCGUCCCAGCCGAUUCUCUUGACUUCUGUCAGCGGCACUCACGCUCUGGCCAUUGCUGCGCCGCCGAAGUCUCGCGAGGGGUAGCGCGCGCCGGAAGUUGGUACCAUAGAGACUGGAGAGCCGGAGGUGCCCCCGCCACCGGGGCGGGGCGGGGCGAGGUCCUAGCUAGCUGGGUUAGUAAGCGGCGCGAGCGUGCGAGUUUCUGACGCGCCCGCGUCGUCCCAGCUCCCUGGACUACCAGUAUUGUCGCCCACGUGGGCUUCUCUUUCGUCCGCUCAGGCCUCACUUUUCUCCGUAAACACCCCGGCACGAUGGAGCGGCCCCAGCGUUCGGGAGCGGCCCGGGAGCGGAAAGCGGCAGUGUCCUGGGAGCCUCGAAAGCCGCAGGGGCGGCAGCUCGCCUCGGAAUGACCUCUGACGGAAGAAAUAAAACGGGGCCUGGGACGCUUGCACGAAAGAACCCGACAAAAACCAGAGCCCGCACUCACUCUCGUACUGGGGAGGUGGACUUCAGGGAGGGUUAUCUGGAGGAGGAAUCUCUCAAAGUACAACACAGGAGAAAGACAGUAUCGCAAUACAGAAAUUUUAUUUUUUAUUUUAUUAUUAUUUUCCUGAGACCGGAGUCUCGCUCUGUCGCCCAGGCUGGAGUGCAGUGGCGCGAUCUCGGCUCACUGCAAACUCCGCCUCCCGGGUUCACGCCAUUCGGCUGCCUCACCCUCCACAGUAGCUGGGACUACAAGCGCCCGCCACCACGCCCGGCUAAUUUGCAAUACGGAAAUUUUAAUAGCCUCAGCUUCCACGGAAUCCAUGCCCACAUCUUCAUAAUCCUCCAGAGCUGCCAGAUCCUCGCGGGCCUCGGAGAAUUCCCCCACUGCCAUGCCCUCCCCCACGUACCAGUGCACUAAGGCGCACUUGGCCGAACUUAUGGUCCAGGCAGGCCCAGGCCUCCGUGAUGGCCGUGGUGUUGCUCAGCAUGCACACCGCCCGCUGCACUUUGGCCAGGUCUCCCACAGGGACCACCGUGGGGGGCUGGUAGUUAAUGCCCACCUGUCAGAGAUGGGCAGCAUAGAAUGAAGUUUAUAUUGGCCUCAGAAAUGGGAGCUCAUUAAAAAUCAGAGCUGUGGACCAGUUCCAACACUGUG
This 1310-nucleotide long non-coding RNA is filed under the name Homo sapiens (human). RNAcentral's name for it is "HSALNT0405020". The record is from RNAcentral. Lineage: Eukaryota; Metazoa; Chordata; Mammalia; Primates; Hominidae.